This 147-nucleotide ribosomal RNA is filed under the name Mycoplasmopsis felis. RNAcentral describes it as "Mycoplasma felis partial 16S ribosomal RNA". It matches the Rfam family "Bacterial small subunit ribosomal RNA", at positions 1388 to 1533 of the family's 1533-position model. The record is from RNAcentral. Lineage: Bacteria; Bacillati; Mycoplasmatota; Mycoplasmoidales; Metamycoplasmataceae.
CACCGCCCGUCACACCAUGGGAGCUGGUAAUGCCCGAAGUCGGUUUUGUUAACUACGGAGACAACUGCCUAAGGCAGGGCCGGUGACUGGGGUGAAGUCGUAACAAGGUAUCCCUACGAGAACGUGGGGAUGGAUUACCUCCUUUCU